RNAcentral lists this unclassified non-coding RNA (478 nucleotides) under uncultured Glomus. Its description in RNAcentral is "SSU rRNA". It matches the Rfam family "Eukaryotic small subunit ribosomal RNA", at positions 569 to 1053 of the family's 1831-position model. The record is from RNAcentral. Lineage: Eukaryota; Fungi; Glomeromycota; Glomeromycetes; Glomerales; Glomeraceae.
AGCAGCCGCGGUAAUUCCAGCUCCAAUAGCGUAUAUUAAAGUUGUUGCAGUUAAAAAGCUCGUAGUUGAAUUUCGAGAUCAAAUUGUUGGUCGUGCCUUGGUACGCACUGGCAUUAUUGGUUUCUCCCUUCUGACGAACCAUGAUGUCAUUAAUUUGGUGUCUUGGGGAAUCAGGACUGUUACUUUGAAAAAUUAGAGUGUUUAAAGCAGGCUCACGCUUGAAUACAUUAGCAUGGAAUAAUGAAAUAGGACGUUUGAUUCUAUUUUGUUGGUUUCUAGGAUCGACGUAAUGAUUAAUAGGGAUAGUUGGGGGCAUUAGUAUUCAAUUGUCAGAGGUGAAAUUCUUGGAUUUAUUGAAGACUAACUACUGCGAAAGCAUUUGCCAAGGAUGUUUUCAUUAAUCAAGAACGAAAGUUAGGGGAUCGAAGACGAUCAGAUACCGUCGUAGUCUUAACCAUAAACUAUGCCGACUAGGGAU